RNAcentral lists this ribosomal RNA (468 nucleotides) under uncultured bacterium. Its description in RNAcentral is "partial 16S ribosomal RNA". It matches the Rfam family "Bacterial small subunit ribosomal RNA", at positions 28 to 507 of the family's 1533-position model. The record is from RNAcentral.
GACGAACGCUGGCGGCGUGCUUAACACAUGCAAGUCGAACGGAAAGGCCCUGCUUUUGUGGGGUGCUCGAGUGGCGAACGGGUGAGUAACACGUGAGUAACCUGCCCUUGACUUUGGGAUAACUUCAGGAAACUGGGGCUAAUACCGGAUAGGAGCUCCUGCUGCAUGGUGGGGGUUGGAAAGUUUCGGCGGUUGGGGAUGGACUCGCGGCUUAUCAGCUUGUUGGUGGGGUAGUGGCUUACCAAGGCUUUGACGGGUAGCCGGCCUGAGAGGGUGAACGGCCACCUUGGGACUGAGAUACGGCCCAGACUCCUACGGGAGGCAGCAGUGGGGAAUAUUGCACAAUGGGCGGAAGCCUGAUGCAGCAACGCCGCGUGCGGGAUGACGGCCUUCGGGUUGUAAACCGCUUUCGCCUGUGACGAAGCGUGAGUGACGGUAAUGGGUAAAGAAGCACCGGCUAACUACGUG